RNAcentral lists this ribosomal RNA (329 nucleotides) under uncultured eukaryote. Its description in RNAcentral is "partial 18S ribosomal RNA". It matches the Rfam family "Eukaryotic small subunit ribosomal RNA", at positions 1470 to 1796 of the family's 1831-position model. The record is from RNAcentral.
CCCUUAGAUGUUCUGGGCCGCAUGCGCGCUACACUGACGAUGGCAACGAGUUUUUCCUUCGCCGAAAGGUGUGGGUAAUCUUUUGAAACAUCGUCGUGCUGGGGAUAGAUCAUUGCAAUUUUUGAUCUUGAACGAGGAAUUCCUAGUAAGCGCGAGUCAUCAGCUCGCGUUGAUUACGUCCCUGCCCUUUGUACACACCGCCCGUCGCUACUACCGAUUGAAUGGUUUAGUGAGGACUCCUGAUUGGCGCCGCCGCCCCGGCAACGGAGCAGCGGACUGCCGAAAAGUUGUUCAAACUUGAUCAUUUAGAGGAAGUAAAAGUCGUAACA